This 301-nucleotide ribosomal RNA is filed under the name uncultured bacterium. RNAcentral describes it as "partial 16S ribosomal RNA". It matches the Rfam family "Bacterial small subunit ribosomal RNA", at positions 509 to 807 of the family's 1533-position model. The record is from RNAcentral.
CAGCCGCCGCGGGAAUACGGAGGGUGCAAGCGUUAUCCGGAAUCAUUGGGUUUAAAGGGUCCGUAGGCGGUCUUGUAAGUCAGUGGUGAAAGCCCAUCGCUCAACGGUGGAACGGCCAUUGAUACUGCAGGACUUGAAUUAUUGGGAAGUAACUAGAAUAUGUAGUGUAGCGGUGAAAUGCUUAGAGAUUACAUGGAAUACCAAUUGCGAAGGCAGGUUACUACCAAUUGAUUGACGCUGAUGGACGAAAGCGUGGGUAGCGAACAGGAUUAGAUACCCCUGUAGUCCCUGUCUCUUAUAC